AUUGAACGCUGGCGGCAGGCCUAACACAUGCAAGUCGAGCGGAUGAAGGGAGCUUGCCCCUGGAUUCCGCGGCGGACGGGUGAGUAAUGCCUAGGAAUCUGCCUGGUAGUGGGGGAUAACGUCCGUAAACGGGCGCUAAUACCGCAUCCGUCCUGAGGGAGAACGUGGGGGAUCUUCGGACCUCACGCUAUCAGAUGAGCCUAGGUCGGAUUAGCUAGUUGGUGGGGUAAAGGCCUACCAAGGCGACGAUCCGUAACUGGUCUGAGAGGAUGAUCAGUCACACUGGAACUGAGACACGGUCCAGACUCCUACGGGAGGCAGCAGUGGGGAAUAUUGGACAAUGGGCGAAAGCCUGAUCCAGCCAUGCCGCGUGUGUGAAGAAGGUCUUCGGAUUGUAAAGCACUUUAAGUUGGGAGGAAGGGCAGUAAGUUAAUACCUUGCUGUUUUGACGUUACCAACAGAAUAAGCACCGGCUAACUUCGUG
Molecule: ribosomal RNA, 484 nt
Filed under: uncultured bacterium
Lineage: Bacteria
Description: partial 16S ribosomal RNA
Rfam family: Bacterial small subunit ribosomal RNA
Source: RNAcentral